GAGAGGUGGCAGAGAGGUCGAAUGCGCCGCACUCGAAAUGCGGUGUACGGGCAACCGUACCGUGGGUUCGAAUCCCACCCUCUCCGC
This 87-nucleotide transfer RNA is filed under the name Novosphingobium sp. MBES04. RNAcentral's name for it is "tRNA-Ser". It matches the Rfam family "tRNA". Rfam says of the family: Transfer RNA (tRNA) molecules are approximately 80 nucleotides in length. Their secondary structure includes four short double-helical elements and three loops (D, anti-codon, and T loops). Further hydrogen bonds mediate the characteristic L-shaped molecular structure. tRNAs have two regions of fundamental functional importance: the anti-codon, which is responsible for specific mRNA codon recognition, and the 3' end, to which the tRNAs corresponding amino acid is attached (by aminoacyl-tRNA synthetases). tRNAs cope with the degeneracy of the genetic code in two manners: having more than one tRNA (with a specific anti-codon) for a particular amino acid; and 'wobble' base-pairing, i.e. permitting non-standard base-pairing at the 3rd anti-codon position. Lineage: Bacteria; Pseudomonadati; Pseudomonadota; Alphaproteobacteria; Sphingomonadales; Sphingomonadaceae. The record is from RNAcentral.